AAUAGAUACCCCGGUAGUCCACGCCGUAAACGAUGAGUGCUAAGUGUUGGAGGGGUUUCCGCCCUUCAGUGCUGCAGCUAACGCAUUAAGCACUCCGCCGUGGGGAGUACGGUCGCAAGACUGAAACUCAAAGGAAUUGACGGGGGGCCCGCACAAGCGGUGGAGCAUGUGGUUUAAUUCGAAGCAACGCGAAGAACCUUACCAGGUCUUGACAUCUCCUGACCGCCCUGGAGACAGGGUCUUCCCUUCGGGGACAGGAUGACAGGUGGUGCAUGGUUGUCGUCAGCUCGUGUCGUGAGAUGUUGGGUUAAGUCCCGCAACGAGCGCAACCCUUGGUUCUAGUUGCCAGCAUUCAGUUGGGCACUCUAGAGCGACUGCCGGGCGACAAGUCGGAGGAAGGUGGGGAUGACGGUCAAAUCAUCAUGCCCCUUAUGACCUGGGCUACACACGUGCUACAAUGGGUGUACAAAGGGCAGCAAAGCGGCGACGCAUGGAGCGAAAUCCCNGAAAAACCAGUUCUCAGUUCGGAUUGCG
Molecule: ribosomal RNA, 534 nt
Filed under: uncultured bacterium
Lineage: Bacteria
Description: bacterial SSU rRNA
Rfam family: Bacterial small subunit ribosomal RNA
Source: RNAcentral